AUUGAACGCUGGCGGCAGGCUUAACACAUGCAAGUCGAGCGGGGUGAUGGUGCUUGCACUAUCACUUAGCGGCGGACGGGUGAGUAAUGCUUAGGAAUCUGCCUAUUAGUGGGGGACAACAUCUCGAAAGGGAUGCUAAUACCGCAUACGUCCUACGGGAGAAAGCAGGGGAUCACUUGUGACCUUGCGCUAAUAGAUGAGCCUAGGUCGGAUUAGCUAGUUGGUGGGGUAAAGGCCUACCAAGGCGACGAUCUGUAGCGGGUCUGAGAGGAUGAUCCGCCCCACUGGGCCUGAGACACGGCCCAGACUCCUACGGGAGGCAGCAGUGGGGAAUAUUGGACAAUGGGGGGAACCCUGAUCCAGCCAUGCCGCGUGUGUGAAGAAGGCCUUAUGGUUGUAAAGCACUUUAAGCGAGGAGGAGGCUCUUUUGGUUAAUACCCAAGAUGAGUGGACGUUACUCGCAGAAUAAGCACCGGCUAACUCUGUGCCAGCCGCCGCCGUAA
Molecule: ribosomal RNA, 503 nt
Filed under: uncultured bacterium
Lineage: Bacteria
Description: partial 16S ribosomal RNA
Rfam family: Bacterial small subunit ribosomal RNA
Source: RNAcentral